ACCUCUGGCAAACAGUUGGGAAGAGUCACCUGCUGGGGGUACAUCUGCAUUCUGACCACACGACGUGACAGCGACCUCUGUGGCCAGUGCUCGAAGAGGGGAAAGGCAUGAAAAAGCUGUUGCCCUGCAUCUCCAACCUUCAGAGAGGGGGAAAUAGUAACAACAGAAAAAUGGUCCUGAUAUUUCUAAGAUAUGAAAGACACUUUUGCAUAAGAUGCUGUCAAACACAUACAGUGGAAGAAAUAUCUACAUUGCGAACAGCCGCUGAUGGGAGUGACUAACUGCACCAAGCAUACGUGGAGCCGC
Pygoscelis adeliae (Adelie penguin) is the source of this 306-nucleotide long non-coding RNA. RefSeq lists it as uncharacterized. The transcript is spliced from 4 exons. Lineage: Eukaryota; Metazoa; Chordata; Aves; Sphenisciformes; Spheniscidae. The record is from RefSeq and is a predicted model, not a curated record.